GGGGUUGUGACUCAGCGGGAGAGUGCUCGCCUAGCAAAUGUGAGGCCCUGGGUUCGAUCCUCAGCACCACA
This 71-nucleotide transfer RNA is filed under the name Marmota monax (woodchuck). Its description in RNAcentral is "tRNA.Ala". The record is from RNAcentral. Lineage: Eukaryota; Metazoa; Chordata; Mammalia; Rodentia; Sciuridae.